AACGUUUUGUCUCUCGCGUGCUUCUCCAUCGAUCGAUUUCUUAUCUGUACAUCUGCGGCAGAUGGUUGUCGAGAUUGAACCGGUGGUAAGGUACCAUGCGUGCUAUAUUUGAUCUUCUCUUUCGUUUUAGAUGCAAGGGGUGGUUGUUAGUUUCGCCAUUGACCCUCGACGGCGGUAGGAAGAGGUGACGAGACUAAAAUCAGGAGUAGCAGAAGACAAAUGAGGGUCCGAUGAUCCAGUUUCUCUCGCCUGAGCUCCCCCUUUUCUAGAAAUAUACCACCCGACCUCCGAAUCAAUAGCUCUGGGGCAUAAUUGAUAUCGGGGAUAAAUUGAUUUGGAGACUGAUCCUUACUAUAAAACUAUGAACUUGCAGAACAUGGAGGACGUUUUUAGGUUUUCUUCAAGAGAACGUGAGAAGUAAUUGUUAGGUUUGAUAAAUACAGAUUGGAAGUGGAAAACGUACACAUUGUGUGGUUAACAAACCGCCACGCCUGAAGAUCAAUCGACCGGUGGUAAUCAAGAGUUGUUCUGCCCGUCUUCCAGGUGUAUUCAAAUACACAAAAACCUCAUAAAUCUCUUUACUAACGUCAAUUUAUGAUGAUAAAUGAAAAUACUGAAAUGGAGAUCAAAAAAUGUUACUGGAAUUCCUGAAAGAAAGCGAGAAACACGUGAAUAAGCCAAUAACGAAACACCAAGUCAGACAACUACUGCUACAGUAAUGAGCACAAGCUCAAACACCAAGGAUGAGUGGAGGUUUGCACCCUAGAUUAUGAAGAAGUACCACAAGUAGUCGUGAUCAAGCACAAAGAAAGCUUUAUAUUGGCGGGUUGUCUCCUGAAACAAGUGGAAUGCUGCUUCUUUUUUUCCAAAAAAAAAACAUGCUGAUAUAGAAGAAGGUUUUGUUGCAUAUGACAAAGAAACAAACAAAUCACGGGCAAGAAGCAUCUGGUGGCAAGUAUGUGUAUGGCUACAACUACCUAUCCCAGCUCAGUUCGAGACUAAAUGGGCUACUACAACACAUAGAACAAAAACAUCUGAGCAAGGCCAAGAAGAAAGCAACUGGAACCGAAAUGUGCACGCUGUGGAAGAUAUGGAACAGCCGCAUUGAAAAGAUAUUCGAAGGAGGCGCAAACUCU
This 1136-nucleotide long non-coding RNA is filed under the name Helianthus annuus (common sunflower). RNAcentral's name for it is "hypothetical non coding rna". The record is from RNAcentral. Lineage: Eukaryota; Viridiplantae; Streptophyta; Magnoliopsida; Asterales; Asteraceae.